GACGAACGCUGGCGGCGUGCUUAACACAUGCAAGUCGAACGGAAAGGCCCUGCUUUUGUGGGGUGCUCGAGUGGCGAACGGGUGAGUAACACGUGAGUAACCUGCCCUUGACUUUGGGAUAACUUCAGGAAACUGGGGCUAAUACCGGAUAGGAGCUCCUGCUGCAUGGUGGGGGUUGGAAAGUUUCGGCGGUUGGGGAUGGACUCGCGGCUUAUCAGCUUGUUGGUGGGGUAGUGGCUUACCAAGGCUUUGACGGGUAGCCGGCCUGAGAGGGGGACCGGCCACAUUGGGACUGAGAUACGGCCCAGACGCCUACGGGAGGCAGCAGUGGGGAAUAUUGCACAAUGGGCGGAAGCCUGAUGCAGCAACGCCGCGUGCGGGAUGACGGCCUUCGGGUUGUAAACCGCUUUCGCCUGUGACGAAGCGUGAGUGACGGUAAUGGGUAAAGAGGCGCCGGCUAACUACGUG
Molecule: ribosomal RNA, 468 nt
Filed under: uncultured bacterium
Lineage: Bacteria
Description: partial 16S ribosomal RNA
Rfam family: Bacterial small subunit ribosomal RNA
Source: RNAcentral